CUAGAACAUCCAUCAAAGCAUUUUGGAGAAUAUCCCAUAUGCUACUGAGAAGAAUGUGUAUUCUGAUGUUGUGGAGUACAAUACCGUAAACACUCCAGCUUUGCCACAACCUACCUCCGAUAUUACUGCUUCAAUCAAAAAGAAACGCAGAACUGUCACCACCUGGAGCUUGAGCAGCUGCAUGCAUGACACCAGUGUCAUGAAUGUUAGCCUUCUGGUACGGCCACACAGACCUCUUGAGAAUGUGACAAAUACUACAGUACCCUGAGUAAUUUUGGAUUACAUCCCAAACAUUUUGAAUAUUUUGUUUUGGCACCCUGGAUACUUAUACCUUACAGAGAGGGCUGGGGAUAUUUCUGUUGGAGCACAGGUCUGCCUCCCACAGUUUAAUCCCCCCAGUCAAUCCUGUGGAGAAUGUAGUUAUUUUUAAGUCAGCUAGUUACUCAUUUGGGUUCAACUUCCAAGUUUUAACCAGCACUGUGUGGUUGUGCUGUGUGGGGUUGUGACUUCAAUGUGCGUUCAGUUUUCAAAAACUUGUACUUUUAGAGCCCUUACUUAAAGGUGAGUCAGUCUCCUCCCUGUGGGCUGUGCAAGAACUGGAAAGCUUUGUACACCUCUGUGGUGCUCACAUCCAUUUCUGGGUAUUUUAGCAGCACUGUUUGCUGGUAGUCUGAAGUCUCAUGGGAUUUUUUUCCCACUUAUUGCCUAGUAUUUAUUGUUGGGAGCCUCUGAAGCUGGAAAAUGACCACACUUGCAGGUGCCAUCUCAAAAACAGAGUGCCCAGGGCAAGCCAGUGAAAAACACCAAGUCCCUAGACAAUCCAAGCAGUGGGUUACUAGGCAGCAAUUGAAACUGACAUCCUUCUGAGUAUAUAAAUAAAUGUGCUACAGUGGUUAA
Cavia porcellus (domestic guinea pig) is the source of this 897-nucleotide long non-coding RNA. RefSeq lists it as uncharacterized. Lineage: Eukaryota; Metazoa; Chordata; Mammalia; Rodentia; Caviidae. The record is from RefSeq and is a predicted model, not a curated record. The transcript has 3 exons.